Molecule: ribosomal RNA, 497 nt
Filed under: uncultured bacterium
Lineage: Bacteria
Description: partial 16S ribosomal RNA
Rfam family: Bacterial small subunit ribosomal RNA
Source: RNAcentral
GAUGAACGCUGGCGGCGUGCCUAAUACAUGCAAGUCGAGCGAACAGACGAGGAGCUUGCUCCUCUGACGUUAGCGGCGGACGGGUGAGUAACACGUGGAUAACCUACCUAUAAGACUGGGAUAACUUCGGGAAACCGGAGCUAAUACCGGAUAAUAUAUUGACCCGCAUGGUUCAAUAGUUAAAGACGGUUUUGCUGUCACUUAUAGAUGGAUCCGCGCCGCAUUAGCUAGUUGGUAAGGUAACGGCUUACCAAGGCGACGAUGCGUAGCCGACCUGAGAGGGUGAUCGGCCACACUGGAACUGAGACACGGUCCAGACUCCUACGGGAGGCAGCAGUAGGGAAUCUUCCGCAAUGGGCGAAAGCCUGACGGAGCAACGCCGCGUGAGUGAUGAAGGUCUUCGGAUCGUAAAACUCUGUUAUUAGGGAAGAACAAAUGUGUAAGUAACUAUGCACGUCUUGACGGUACCUAAUCAGAAAGCCACGGCUAACUACGUG